This 253-nucleotide ribosomal RNA is filed under the name uncultured bacterium. RNAcentral's name for it is "partial 16S ribosomal RNA". It matches the Rfam family "Bacterial small subunit ribosomal RNA", at positions 524 to 776 of the family's 1533-position model. The record is from RNAcentral.
UACAGAGGGGGCAAGCGUUGUUCGGAAUUACUGGGCGUAAAGGGCGCGUAGGCGGCCUGUUAAGUCGAACGUGAAAUCCCCGGGCUCAACCCGGGAACUGCGUCCGAUACUGGCAGGCUUGAAUCCGGGAGAGGGAUGCGGAAUUCCAGGUGUAGCGGUGAAAUGCGUAGAUAUCUGGAGGAAUACCGGUGGCGAAGGCGGCGUUCUGGACUGCAACUGACACUGAUGAACGAAAGCCAGGGGAGCAAACGGG